AGUCAUUCCACAGUCUGAUACUGCGUUUUGCUCCAAAGAAUGUGGUUUUUCCCUUCAUGGGAAUGUUGUGCAGGUUGUAUCUUGCAUCAAUGCACCACAACGAAAAUGCUUCACGGGUGCAAGCUACGACUUCUGCAGGGCAGGCUGUUUAUAAAGUUGUCUAUCCAAAGGCGAAGAUGGGGGAAGGUGUUGUGAAGCCCGUGAAAACAGAUCCAACAUUCAACUAUGUACAUGACCUCAUGAGGCUGCUCAUGGAGGUUUUUGAGGACCCAACAUCAUUUGACGAGGAAAUGAAGACUAUCCCCAUCCCUCCAGACCUUUCAGCAGAAAAUACACGCACUCCGAAGGCUGAGCUGGUUGCCCGUCACGUCUCCCGCUUCAAUCUAGAGGUGGUCUGAAGCCUACGUAGUCACCAGAUGGGAACUGCUGCCGUAUCCGCUGCACCACACAUGACGGGAGGACGACCCGACAACUAUGUCCUAAAUAUCCCCAGCACCAGCUUACAAAGCUGCGAUAGGCAAGAUGCCUGAAACGCCUAAGGGAAAAAGAGUAGAACUUUCAGACCACCUGUUUUCAACAAUAACCUCUUAUAGGCUGGGCCUACACUGGGCCUUACUGUGCACCCCCCACCUCCCAACGAAACCAACUAUUUUUUAAUGGUCUGACCAUGCUGAACAUAAAAAAAUAGUUGGCUUCGUUGGGAGGUGGGGGUGCACAGUAAGACCCCGUUGCUCGCGGCCUAAUAGUUUUAUUCUGUUUUUCUUCUAAUGGUAAAUUGAUUCACAUAAUAUUAAUAGUAUAAUAUUGCUUUGGUUUUGUUUAGUAGGAGCUUAGACAAUAUGACUUACUCUUCAUCUGUUGUGUGCCUCACAGGUCCAUAAUCAUACUUGUAAAUAUUGUAAAUAUUUUGUAGACUGUAUAUGUUUAGACACACAGGCUCCAGGCCUGGAUGUUGUGUCAUACAGGUAAUUGAUUCUGGCACUUGGCUCAUUCGUCGUAGUACCUAAUAAAUACAAUAAGACAAAAUAACUUCUGUGUAAAGUGACCUUGACCUCAGAGUACAACAUGACUGCAUAGGACAAUACAGAUUCAGGAAGCAACAUCUGUUUUCCAGUCAUACUUUUAUUGAACAUUUUUUUAAAUCACUGAUUAGUUCUACAUAACAAUGAUUGUUAUACAGUAAAUAGAUGGCUGAGACAACGGUGAACAGGUGAGAUUUCUCGUAACUGGUAUUGCUGAAGCAACAUCUAUUCGAGUAGGAUUGUUAUUUACAAAAAAUGGUAUCAAUGACUUCACAUAACAAACAUGGUACAGUUGGCUGGUACUACAGCAAACGGGUGAGAACGGUGAGAUUACUCGUUUUCCUUUACAAGUGUACUGGUAUUACUGUUGCUACUAUAAAUGGUAGAGAUGAUUAAACAUGCAACAUAUUUUCCUAGAAGUUAAUAAGGUUUUGUGGUGAUAGUGGUAGGCUCCUCGUCUUCUGAGGAGAAAUAUAUAUAUCUAUAUCUGUCAUAUGUCGUAGAUCUAUCAUCUUCGGCGAGAUAUAUAUAUAUAUAUAUAUAUAUAUAUCUCGCCGAAGAUGAUAGAUAUAUGACAUGACAUCGUUCUCAACAAACUAGCUUAGCCUAAAGCUCAUCAGUUUUACCUUUGGGAUUUCUCUACAGCAGACGUUCUCCACUUCGUUGGGCAUAGUGGCACAAUUCCCGCAGGUGCACCUAGGUAGAGAUGUUAUAAGUUAUAACGCUGUAUUUUGACGGACAAAAGUAGUCAACAAUAUGCCAUGUUGGGACAUAAAAAGCUUGUUACGGACGCUUGAAUAGUACGAGUAGUCUACUAGCCGCAAGCUAAGUCCGAAAAACUACGCUAAAUACAUGAUAAAUCGCCUGUGUGUAUAAUAGCAUAAACAAAAGCUUACCACUGUGAAAUGUCCUGGUCCAUUCUACGACUAAAAUCACGCUUGUCGUUAGCGUCUUCAGCUCCAUUAUCGCUUUCGGGGUCCGACUCAGGCUCAAAUUGGUACGGCAGCACUGCAGCCAUAGUAGACAGAGUGCCUGAAGAGACGUCAGCACUCAGCACCCUGUCAGCACCAAGAUUCUAAAUGCCUCAAAAUUCUAAGCAACAGGGUGUUUCACAUAGGGGUUGUAAUACUCAUAAAGUAUGAGAAAAAAAUAAUGUGCUAGACAACCCUUUAUUGUUGUAAAUCAAUUCUAUGAGGUCAAACAAAUUAAAUAAUGAACAGUAAAUAGGGGCAUAAUAGGCCCCCUU
Molecule: long non-coding RNA, 2268 nt
Organism: Gadus macrocephalus (Pacific cod)
Lineage: Eukaryota; Metazoa; Chordata; Actinopteri; Gadiformes; Gadidae
Exons: 3
Source: RefSeq, a predicted model, not a curated record